This 190-nucleotide unclassified non-coding RNA is filed under the name uncultured Rozellomycota. RNAcentral describes it as "uncultured Cryptomycota sequence contains ITS2". Lineage: Eukaryota; Fungi; Rozellomycota. The record is from RNAcentral.
ACACGAUCAACUCUAGUUAGAGUUGGGAUUGACCUCAUGCGCUGUUUAUAGCAGCAUUUGGUUUGAAUGAAUCAAGUUGAUGGGUUCCCCAGCAAUGCUCAAUGUGUGCUAGCGAGACAGUCGUCCCGAUCUCACAUUAGUGGUUUUGUUGCAGAGCUUUAAUCACGGCUUGUUAAUUAUCAUAUAUCUA